This 301-nucleotide ribosomal RNA is filed under the name uncultured bacterium. RNAcentral describes it as "partial 16S ribosomal RNA". It matches the Rfam family "Bacterial small subunit ribosomal RNA", at positions 509 to 807 of the family's 1533-position model. The record is from RNAcentral.
CAGUAGCCGCGGUAAUACGAAGGGUGCAAGCGUUAAUCGGAAUUACCGGGCGUAAAGCGUGCGUAGGCGGUUUGUUAAGUCUGUUGUGAAAUCCCCGGGCUCAACCUGGGAAUGGCAAUGGAUACUGGCAAGCUAGAGUGUGUCAGAGGAUGGUGGAAUUCCCGGUGUAGCGGUGAAAUGCGUAGAGAUCGGGAGGAACAUCAGUGGCGAAGGCGGCCAUCUGGGACAACACUGACGCUGAGGCACGAAAGCGUGGGGAGCAAACAGGAUUAGAUACCCCCGUAGUCCCUGUCUCUUAUAC